This 274-nucleotide ribosomal RNA is filed under the name uncultured bacterium. Its description in RNAcentral is "partial 16S ribosomal RNA". It matches the Rfam family "Bacterial small subunit ribosomal RNA", at positions 523 to 796 of the family's 1533-position model. The record is from RNAcentral.
AUACGGAGGGGGCUAGCGUUGUUCGGAAUUACUGGGCGUAAAGCGCGCGUAGGCGGUUCGCGUAGUCAGGCGUGAAAGCCCCGGGCUCAACCUGGGAACUGCGUUUGAUACUGGCGAGCUAGAGUCCGGGAGAGGGUGGCGGAAUUCCCAGUGUAGAGGUGAAAUUCGUAGAUAUUGGGAAGAACACCAGUGGCGAAGGCGGCUACCUGGACCGGUACUGACGCUGAGGUGCGAAAGCGUGGGGAGCAAACAGGAUUAGAAACCCCGGUAGUCC